This 56-nucleotide transfer RNA is filed under the name Trichuris trichiura (human whipworm). RNAcentral describes it as "tRNA-Phe". Lineage: Eukaryota; Metazoa; Nematoda; Enoplea; Trichinellida; Trichuridae. The record is from RNAcentral.
ACUCUUCUAGCUUAAGUCCAAGCAUGUCUCUGAAGAAGAUAAGAUCUCCGAGAGUA